UGGGGAAUAUUGCACAAUGGGGGAAACCCUGAUGCAGCGACGCCGCGUGAACGAAGAAGGUAUUCGUAUCGUAAAGUUCUGUCCUAUGGGAAGAUAAUUACAGUACCAUAGAAGAAAGCUCCGGCUAAAUACGUGCCAGCAGCCGCGGUAAUACGUAUGGAGCGAGCGUUGUCCGGAAUUAUUGGGCGUAAAGGGUACGCAGGCGGUUUAAUAAGUCGAAUGUUAAAGAUCGGGGCUCAACCCCGUAAAGCAUUGGAAACUGAUAAACUUGAGUAGUGGAGAGGAAAGUGGAAUUCCUAGUGUAGUGGUGAAAUACGUAGAUAUUAGGAGGAAUACCAGUAGCGAAGGCGACUUUCUGGACACAAACUGACGCUGAGGUACGAAAGCGUGGGGAGCAAACAGG
RNAcentral lists this ribosomal RNA (403 nucleotides) under bacterium. Its description in RNAcentral is "partial 16S ribosomal RNA". It matches the Rfam family "Bacterial small subunit ribosomal RNA", at positions 355 to 776 of the family's 1533-position model. The record is from RNAcentral.